This 685-nucleotide long non-coding RNA is filed under the name Anser cygnoides (Swan goose). RNAcentral describes it as "lncRNA (ENSACDG00005007371.1)". The record is from RNAcentral. Lineage: Eukaryota; Metazoa; Chordata; Aves; Anseriformes; Anatidae.
CCGGGGGCGGGGAGAGGGGCGGGGCUUUCCGCCGAAAGGGGGCGGGGCGCGCGGAGGAGGCGGGGCGAGCGCAGGGGAGGCUGGCGAGCAGAGAGUGCCCUUGUGUCGCCAGCCGGCGAGCGGCUGGGAGCGAGCAGCCGCCCCGCGCCGCCAGCGGGACGGGACGGGACAGCACGGCACGGGACAGCACGGCGCGGGGCGGGACAGGCCGGGCCGCAGGGACAGCCGGACCGACCCGCCGGUAGGGGCGAGGGGAGCCAGCGGGGGCAGCCGGCACCGCUCGGUGGAGGGAAGCAGCCCGGCGGCGGCAGAGCCGGCGGGGAGAGCUGCUCCCCCCACUUCCCUCCCCAAUCCACCCCCGCGACCCCGGCCCUCCUCCUCCUCCUCCUCCUCACCCCACUGGAUACAGCGAGGGAGACACUGCGGCGGCGGAGGCGGCGGCGGCGGCUCCUGCGGGGGGAAGGAAGCGCCCGGAGAGCGGAGCGGCGGGAGGCUGCGGAUCUGCGUGCCUGGCGCCCACCCAGCCCGAGGGGAGCCCCCAGGAUGCGGCUCAAGCCCGGCGCGCUCCUGCGCUUCUACAGCCUCUGCGGGAUCCUCAUGCAAGUGUCCAAAGUGCUCUCAUUACCUGGAUUACAGAGUCAUAAAAUCAGAUGAGCAGAAUGCCAAUUAGAAGGAGUUCAUCAGU